This 98-nucleotide small nuclear RNA is filed under the name Cervus elaphus hippelaphus. Lineage: Eukaryota; Metazoa; Chordata; Mammalia; Artiodactyla; Cervidae. The record is from RNAcentral.
UCACUUCAGCAGCACAAAUACUAAACGCAAUGAUGAGGAGAGAGCAUGGAUCCUGUGGAAGGAUGACAUGAAAAAUUAAUUAAGCAUUACAUAUUUUU